GACGAACGCUGGCGGCGUGCUUAACACAUGCAAGUCGAGCGGUAAGGCCCUUUCGGGGGUACACGAGCGGCGAACGGGUGAGUAACACGUGGGUGACCUGCCCUCAGCUCUGGGAUAAGCCUGGGAAACCGGGUCUAAUACCGGAUAUGACUCCAUGACGCAUGUUGUGGGGUGAAAGCCUUGUGCGGCUGAGGAGUGGGCCCGCGGCCUAUCAGCUUGUUGGUGGGGUGAUGGCCUACCAAGGCGACGACGGGUAGCCGGCCUGAGAGGGCGACCGGCCACACUGGGACUGAGACACGGCCCAGACUCCUACGGGAGGCAGCAGUGGGGAAUCUUGCGCAAUGGGCGAAAGCCUGACGCAGCGACGCCGCGUGAGGGAU
RNAcentral lists this ribosomal RNA (380 nucleotides) under uncultured bacterium. RNAcentral's name for it is "bacterial SSU rRNA". It matches the Rfam family "Bacterial small subunit ribosomal RNA", at positions 28 to 409 of the family's 1533-position model. The record is from RNAcentral.